ACACUAGAAAAGAUAAUUUUAUCUAAAAAUUUAAAUUUAAUUUUAAUGAAAAGUUUAAAAUUAAAUUUUUAGACGAUAAGACCCUAUGAAGCUUUAUUAUCAUUAAUUUUUUUGGGGAAAACUAUAAUUUAUUUAUUAUUUUUAAGGCAGGUAUUGAUCUUUUAGAAUUACAAGAAAAAGCUACUCUAGGGAUAACAGCAUAAUUUUUAUUAAAGUUCUUAUUGAAAUAAAAGAUUGUGACCUCGAUGUUGAAUUAAGAAAUAUGAUUUGUGCAGCAGCUAAUUAAUUCUAGUCUGUUCGACUAUACUAUCUUACAUGAUCUGAGUUCAAACCGGA
Molecule: ribosomal RNA, 336 nt
Filed under: Hemidiaptomus roubaui
Lineage: Eukaryota; Metazoa; Arthropoda; Copepoda; Calanoida; Diaptomidae
Description: partial 16S ribosomal RNA
Rfam family: Bacterial large subunit ribosomal RNA (bases 72-336)
Source: RNAcentral